RNAcentral lists this ribosomal RNA (896 nucleotides) under uncultured bacterium. RNAcentral's name for it is "bacterial SSU rRNA". It matches the Rfam family "Bacterial small subunit ribosomal RNA", at positions 28 to 896 of the family's 1533-position model. The record is from RNAcentral.
AACGAACGCUGGCGGCGUGCCUAACACAUGCAAGUCGUACGAGAAACACGUCCUUCGGGGCGUGGAGUAAAGUGGCGCACGGGUGAGUAACACGUGGGUAACCUGCCCUUGGAACCGGGAUAACUGGCCGAAAGGCCCGCUAAUACCGGAUAAGACUUCAUGAGCUUCGGCUCAUGCGGCCAAAGUCGGCCUCUCGAAGAAGCCGGCGCCUGAGGAUGGGCCCGCGGACCAUUAGCUAGUUGGUGAGGUAACGGCUCACCAAGGCCGAGAUGGUUAGCUGGUCUGAGAGGAUGAUCAGCCACACUGGAACUGAGAUACGGUCCAGACUCCUACGGGAGGCAGCAGUGAGGAAUAUUGCGCAAUGGAGGCAACUCUGACGCAGCAACGCCGCGUGGGUGAAGAAGGCUUUCGGGUUGUAAAGCCCUGUCAGGUGGGAAGAAACCUCAUCUAGUGAAUAGCUAGAGGAACUGACGGUACCACCAAAGGAAGCACCGGCUAACUCCGUGCCAGCAGCCGCGGUAAGACGGAGGGUGCAAGCGUUGUUCGGAAUCACUGGGCGUAAAGCGCGUGUAGGCGGUUCGAUAAGUCGAGUGUGAAAGCCCGAGGCUCAACUUCGGAAGUGCACUCGAAACUGUCGAGCUUGAGUACGGGAGAGGGAAGUGGAAUUCCUGGUGUAGAGGUGAAAUUCGUAGAUAUCAGGAGGAACACCGGUGGCGAAGGCGGCUUCCUGGACCGAUACUGACGCUGAGACGCGAAAGCGUGGGGAGCAAACAGGAUUAGAUACCCUGGUAGUCCACGCCGUAAACUGUGAGCGCUAGGUGUAGCGGGUAUUGACCCCUGCUGUGCCGCAGCUAACGCAUUAAGCGCUCCGCCUGGGGAGUACGGCCGCAAGGUUA